RNAcentral lists this ribosomal RNA (441 nucleotides) under uncultured bacterium. RNAcentral describes it as "partial 16S ribosomal RNA". It matches the Rfam family "Bacterial small subunit ribosomal RNA", at positions 338 to 795 of the family's 1533-position model. The record is from RNAcentral.
CCUACGGGUGGCUGCAGUGGGGGAUAUUGCACAAUGGGGGGAACCCUGAUGCAGCGACGCCGCGUGGGUGAAGGAGUAUUUCGGUAUGUAAAGCCCUAUCGGCAGGGAAGAAGCAAGACGGUACCUGACUAAGAAGCCCCGGCCAACUACGUGCCAGCAGCCGCGGUAAUACGUAGGGGGCGAGCGUUAUCCGGAUUCACUGGGUGUAAAGGGAGCGUAGACGGCCAUGCAAGCCAGGGGUGAAAGCCCGGGGCCCAACCCCGGGACUGCCGUUGGAACUGGGCGGCUAGAGUGCGGGAGGGGCAGGCGGAAUGCCUGGUGUAGCGGUGAAAUGCGUAGAUAUCAGGAGGAACACCGGCGGCGAAGGCGGCCUGCUGGAGCGCGACUGACGUUGAGGCUCGAAAGCGUGGGGAGCGAACAGGAUUAGAUACCCGAGUAGUC